Long non-coding RNA from Patella vulgata (common limpet), 2264 nucleotides. RefSeq lists it as uncharacterized. The transcript has 6 exons. Lineage: Eukaryota; Metazoa; Mollusca; Gastropoda; Patellidae. The record is from RefSeq and is a predicted model, not a curated record.
CUCAAACUUAUAGCCUAUGGGUGGAGGAGACCCAUAGAUUUAAGAUUAGAGAAGGUAUGGUCGAGAAAUAAAAGGUCGGUGUACUGCCUACCGACUAUCACGGUCACGAAAACCGGAGAACUCCGCUUGGCUCUCCGGGACGAUGUGGACGAGCUGUGAGAAAUGCGUGGUACAUCGGAUUCCCUCUGAGUACAGUGCUGAGGAGUUAAUGCUCAUGUAAAGUCACAGGCAGCGAAGCGGUCGGAAGGCGGGGGAUCGUUGAGCCCGAUCACUCGUCCAGUCACCGCACACUUUCGUACGAUCCAAGACGCGAGACGGUGGAGAACGGUAGGCAGGGGAUCAUUUAGCCCACAGUUCUCUCUCUAGAAGGCAACGAAGCGGUCGGAAGGCGGGGGAUUGUUGAGCCCGAUCUCUCGUCCAGUCACCGCGCACUUUCGUACGAUCCAAGACUCGAUGGAGAUGGUGGAGCGAGGCCGACCCGGGGACGAAAACGGGGUGUGGAGAACUCCGCUUGGAUUUCUGGGACGAGGUGGACAUGGAUGUUCCAGCUUUCACAAGACGAUGGCUUCAUGGUAGUUGUUCUGUGGAUUUUUAAUGCCGUUAACGUAAAUUGCAAAUUUCUCAUGAGUCCAGUAAAGAUAACCUUGUAUAACGUGUUUCUAUGAUAAACUUAGAUGUAUUGUUGAUAGUGGGGUCUAGAGAGUUUACGGAUACAGUGACGGCGCCGGUUAAAGUACAUAUACUGUAAUUGGAUGCAGUCUGGAAAUUUAGAAUGUACAGAACGUGAAACUGAAUAAUCCUCCUCUCUUACAUGAUCGUGGGGACGCAGAGCAUAUUAUACAUGGAGGUAUUGUACAGUCAAUGCAAUUGAUGAGGACCACAACAAUGUUAAGGCGCCGAAUGAUCAAUACGAUGAUGAUUACCACGGUUAUAGGACACAGACAGGGGAGCUGUGACUUGGAUGGAUGUCAAGCGGCCGUUUAUGGUUCCAGGAACUCGACUGGGAAAUGGAACAUUAACAGGGAAAUUCUAGAUUGGCAAUAGCAGGUUUAUGUAUGUACUGCAUGUACUAUAUAUAUUUUCUAAAUUUUCAUGGGUCUGUCUAAUACACGUAGGUACAGUAAAGAACAUUAUGUUGACAAGUUUGAAACACAUUUUAAAAUACGGACCCCUUGAAAACAUUGACUUUUAGUUAGGCUUGGGGUGUAAAACUACUUGAGGGACCGAGUCCAUCUGUUAUGCCGAGACUAACAUGUCAUAACUUCAUCAAAGAUCACAACAAAUAUGUUUAUCUCUAUCGGGAGAAAACAUACCGACGGUCAGAUGGGAUGGACAGUUUCUUCAUAUAUACACAAAAUAAAAACCAUAACUUCAUCAACAAAGAUCACACCAAAUAUGUUUAUCUCUAUCGGGAGAAAACAUACCGACGGUCAGAUGGGACGGACAGUUUCUUCAUACAUUCACAAAAUAAACACCAUAACUUCAUCAACAAAGAUCACACCAAAUAUGUUUAUCUCUAUCGGGAGAAAGCACACCGACGGUCAGAUGGGACAGGCAGUUUCUUCAUACAUACACAAAAUAAACACCUUCUCCUGUCCGUACAGUUUCUUCAUACAUAGAUAUAGGCAGUUUGCUUCGUUUCUUUGGAACAUAACAUUUGGGGUUGUUUCGUCCUGCAGUUUAAACCGAUAUCCUCACUAAAAGUCUAUCAAAUCACUUCUCUAUGUAAAGGUGUUUCCAAGACUUGUUAGCUAAUGUUUUUAUACUGUAACAUUUUGAUUCAAAUAUUGAUGGGGUUCGUUUGCAAUUUGGAUUUAACUAUUGUUAUAUAUCGCCAAUGGUCAUCAAUUUAUCUAAAUAAGCUUGUUAUUGCCAAACUAGUAUUUUUCUAAUGAAGUUGUCUACAGAUAUCUAUUGUUUUUAUUUUUCAUUUAUAUUAUAUGCAUUAUUAUGUUUAAUUACAUUGUAAGGUCAGCAGUGAGUAAACACUUCCGAUAGAUUCUCAAUACUGAUCACUGAUGUCCGAAACGCCUACAAAGAUCAAAAUGUUUCAUAUGGGGUAACAUAAUACUUUAUAAGGACGUUAGGUCAACAUUCAAAAUUUUUCAUUGUCUAUACUUGGGACAUAAAACUUUAUGGAUUCUUCAUGUCAAAUUACAACUCUUUCGAAACUUUCGACCGAGCAACAGGAUUUUUUUGUUAAAAGAUGUUAUCUUUUCAUAUUUUUAUUGUUUUCGAGGGGAGGUUUUUUAUUAAGGUUUAUU